Molecule: long non-coding RNA, 8981 nt
Filed under: Homo sapiens (human)
Lineage: Eukaryota; Metazoa; Chordata; Mammalia; Primates; Hominidae
Description: non-protein coding lnc-ANKRD20A4-7:4
Source: RNAcentral
AGGUGUCCGCACGCAUCUGCUCCCUGGCACCCUCUCGAGGAGCCCCUGAGGAUUCGUGCCUCCCAGAGGUGGGGAAAGCCCGCCCGAGGCUUCGGUGCUGACGGUGGCGGGGCUGCCGGGCACGCUGUGGAACCGCCUCCCGCUAGAGCUGUGGGCUGGUGACGGUCCCGCGGGGGCGGGAAGCGGCUCAGGCUGCCCUCCUGGCCUGCGGCAGUGCGUCUGGGAGCGCGGGCCACUCGUGCGCGGGUCACUCGGGGCUGUGCCUCGCGCGACUGUGUGUGCAGGAAACAAGCAGGAAAUACCCUAAAAUGGAAUGAAGCGCCAUGUUGAGGGCCGCGGACGUCGCGAGUGCUGUGGGAAUGUGGGCCAAGGUGGAGAGUUAUGGUGGCGCGUGUUACAGGGUCAGGAGUCAGGAAGAAGCCUAAUCAUGGAGCCGGCAUCUGAGGAGGGUCUUGAACGCUGGGCAGGCUUUUGCCCAAUAGAGAUGGAGGAAGCUAGUCCUGUCUGAUGGAGGAAACAGGGCAGAGGCGUGGAGGGAGACGCGCAGUGCUGGUGUGAGGAGCCGCGAGCAGGCCAGGCCUGUAAAUCAGCGUGAUGGGAACCAGGAUAGAGAAGAUACUGCAUAGUGGAUGGAUUAGUUUGUGGUUCCUGGGAUCUUCUGUGUAUUCUGUUGAAGCUCAAUAAUCACAUUACUGCGGACCUCCAAAAUUUUACAAAGGACUGCACAGUGAGUAUUCAGCCGAUAAACUAAACCACAGCUUAAUACUGUGAGAUGAAAAAAAGUACACCAAUUAAAAGUAAACACUGUUUAAACCUACCUCAAUGAAUUUCUAAAGUGUCAUACAUUUAUUAUAUUCUCUACUUGUACAAUAUUUUGUUGUGUGUAUUGCCAAGUAUUUCAGGAUUUUAUGGGUAUAAUGUAUUCUAUUAAUUUAACUGGAAAACUUGUAGUUAUUCAACAAGCAAACUAAAAGUGUUGGCAGAGAUGUAAUUUUAAAGCACAAUCCCACUCAUUCCUUCAGUAUUACAGCUGCUCCUUGUUUGUUUAAUAAUAGAACUGAUGAGUAGUUAAUUUGAGAGGAAAGCUGGUGCAGGUGUAGUGCUAUUUGGAUGUCAUGGAGGACACAUGUGACAUCUGCAGCUAGCUAUAUGGUAAAAGCAAAACAGAAGUUAAAAUCAGCCCUGUGUCAAAUCUGCAUAGUUUUAGGCUUCAGGGAGUGUCUCUGUAUGUUGAGGCAGGAAGUUUAGUAGAAUUCCAAGGAAGUAAGAGAGGAACAAACAUUUGUAGAUUUUGCCUUCUAUGGGGGAACUCAUUCAAUCAUCAGGAGAACUCUUCAAUAAGCUUUAUUUGCUACGGUUUACCUAGAUGAAAAAUUGAGACCCAGAAUCCAUGCUUUUCUUUCCUGGUUACACAUUAGAAUCACCAAUGUGACAUUAAAACACACACACACACACACACACACACACACACUGCACACCCAUUAGGAUGGCUGCUAUCAAAAAAGAAAAAAACAGAAAAAUCAGGGGCCAGACACGCUGGUUCACACCUGUAAUCCCAGCCCUUUGGGAUCACCUGAGGUCGGGAGUUUGACAGCAACCUGGCCAACAUGGUGAAACCUCAUCUGUACCAAAAAAUAAAAUAAAAUAAAAUAAAAACAACACACACACACACACAAUUAGUCGGGCAUGGGGGCACACGUGUAAUCUCAGCUAAUUGAGAGGCUGAGGCACGAGAAUCGCUUUAACCUGGGAGGCGGAGGUUGCAGUGACCGAGAUCACGCCACUGCACUCCAGCCUGGAGACAGAAGGAGACUCGGCCUCAAAACAAAACAAAACAAAAACACCCAGAAAAAUAACGAGUGCUGACAAGGAUGUGGAAAAAUUGUAACUCUUGUGCAUUGAGGGUGGGUAUGAAAAAUAGCACAUCAGCUGUGGAAAACAUACCGUUCCUCAAAAAUUUAGACAUAGAAUUACCAUAUGAUUCAGUAAUCCCACUCACAUCUAUAAAUCUCUAUAUCUGUAUCUUUAUCUACCUAUAUCUAUCUUCAAAAGAAUGGAAAGCAGUUACUCAAAUAGAUACUUGUACACCUGUGUUCUCUCCCCACCCACCCCCCUUUUUUUUUUUUUUUUUAAUAAAUGGGCUCUCACUAUGUUUCCCAGGCUGGAGUGCAGGGGCUGUUUAUAGGCAUGAUCCCCCUGCUGCGGAGCUGUCCACAGGCACGGACCCCUGCUGCAGGGCUGUUCACAGGCACGACCCACUGCUGCGGGGCUGUCCACAGGCACGACCCCCUGCUGAGGGGCUGUCCACAGGCAUGACCCCCUGCUGUGGGGCUGUUUACAGGCACGAUCUCCCUGCUGCGGGGCUGUCCACAGGCACGAUCUCCCUGCUGCGGGGCUGUCCACAGGCAUGACCCCCUGCUGGUCAAACUGGGAGUUGUGCCCUGCUUUGUCUCCAAUCCAUGCCGGUUUGCCCCUCCUUAGGCAACCUGGUAGUCCCUUAUCCCAGGAGGUCACUGUACUAAUGUCUAAUUUCGUGUAGACAUCUGAUCAACACAGCACACUGCAGCUCAGGACUCCUGGGCUCAAGUGAUCUUCCUGCCUCAGAUGCCUGAGUAGCAGGAACUACAGGCGCAUGCCACCACACCUGCCUGCUACACCUGUGUUCAUUGCAGCAUCACAGCAGCCUUAUUUACAGGAACCACAAAGUGGAAACAACCUAAAAAGUCUAUUGAGGGAUAGAUGGAUAAACAAAAUGUGGUAUAGACAUAAAAUGGAAUAUUAGUGAUCUUUGAAAAGGGAAGGAAUUCUGAUGCUUGCUACCACAUAGAUAAAAACAUUAUGCUAAGUGAGACGUCAAACACAGACUACCUGAUUCCAUCUAUAUGAAGAACCUGGAACAGGCAAAUUAAUAGAGACACAAAGUAGAAUAGAGGUUUUCAGGACUGGCAGGAGGUGGAAAUGGGCGAGGUUAGUGUCUAAUGGGCACCGAGUUCCUGUCUGGGAUGAUAGAAUGUUUCGGAAAUGGAUAGUGAUGAUGACUGCACAGCAUUGUGAAUGUAGCUAAUGACGUUGAAUUCUUUACCAGAAAACAAAAACAAAAACAGAAACACAUUGCUUAAGCUUCCAGUCCGACAGGUGACAUGCUUGGUGUGAGCUGGGGCCUAAGCCCAGGCUGCCCUCGCCAGAGCUGCUUCAAGACCCCUCUUGGUUGUACUUAGUCCUGAUUGCUCUGGAGAGCCCCAUACAUGAAAGCCAGCUCUGGUUCUAUCUCUUCUCACUCCAGUCCUCCCUGCCCCCACCAUCCCCCAGCUGGGCAUUAUGAGAAAAGAAAGAUGACUAUGAGUUUUCUGAUUAUUUAUAUGACCAAAUAAUCUCAAGGACUAUUGCUAACUAACCCAUGGGACUCCCACUACCUUCAUGAGGCUCGGUUGAGGUGAAGGGUCCCUAAAAUCAUGCCACCUAGUCAGGAGCUCAGUUGUCAAUAAUUUCUUUAUUUGUGAUACAAGCAGCGGUGGGGAAAGAGAAAUGAACAGACUUGGAAGCUUCUCCGAGGCCCUAGAGAAGACCUCUGGGUUCCGAACACCAGACACCAGGAGUAAGGAGGGUAGUUGAUGACUCCCCACUCUUUCUCCAGCCCCUGCUCCUCUGUUUUUCCCCUUCACCCACUGCAGCUUCCUCAGGUCCUGGGUCCCACGCCAUCAUCUCUUCGAAUGACCUCCCUUCUAUUCCUGUUAAUAAAGGAGCAUCAGCUAAGUGAACAUGGUGAUUUGCAUUCACUUACAUUGAUUCAGAAAUUGUGUUUAAUUCCACACAAGAAAAAGAAUGUGGAUCUGUUUCACUGGGAAAAAAAGUUGCCAUGUAUCAUCAUAAUCAUGUUUUCCUGGGAUAUAAUCUAUACGUGACGCCCAUUUAAGCCUUCAUUGCAUCUGUGCACGUGGUUUGCUUUCCUCUCAUGUGAAAUAGUGUUGGACCACACGGGUUUGGGCCACAGCCCAGGAAGACACAAUCCUGAACGUCAUAAUCCCAAAUGUUGAAGUCCCAUAAGAUCUAAAUCUGUACAGUCUAAAAUCCUGAAAAUUACAAUCCUAAAAAAACAAAAUUCUCAAAAUACAAUUCUGGAAAAAAAUUAUUAACACAUUCUUUAAGAAGAAUUUAUUGGGCAGCACAUGGUGGCUCAUGCCUUUAAUCCCAGCACCUUUGGAGGCCGAGGUGGGUGGAUCACAAAGUCAGGAGAUGGAGACCAUCCUGGCUAACACGGUGAAACCCCAUCUUUACUAAAAGUAGAAAAAAUUAGCCAGGCAUCGUGACGGGUGCCAGUAGUCCCAGCUACUCGGGAGGCUGAGACAGGAGAAUCGCUUGAACCCAGGAGGUGGAAGUUACAGUGAGCUGCAAUCGCACCACUGCACUCCAGCCUAGGCGACAGAGUGAGACUCUGUCUAACAACAACAACAAAAAACAUUUAUUUAUAUUUUUAAGAUGGAAUUUAUUUGAGAAACGUAUAAAAACACAACAGAACCCUUCCUAGGCCACUUUACACAAUCAAUAGGCAAUAAUAACAUGCAUAUAUUUGCAAGCGUAAAACUCAGGUAUGCUAACGAUAGUUUCACGGGUAUAAUGGUAAUGAGCAGAUGAGUUGUAUUUGUAAAGAAAUGGGUCAAAAAGCAAAAUAUAUAAAAGCAUGGUUGGUAACUGGGUGCACUCAGCUUUAUAACUUAGGUCAUCUGGAAUACUGUGACGGACAACCUAAGUCUUUUGACCAGAUUCAUCAAAAGCUGGGAUGUGUCACCAUCUAAUAUUCAGUCAAAGAGCUGAGAUCCUAAGGAAUUUUCUUUUCCCAAAUGCAAAUGUGCAAAAGGAUCUCUUCUCAUUUAUUGAGGAAACUUUAAUGUUUUUAUGUACAUGUACAAUGCUUACACACAAAGUCAGUGUUGUGAUAAUACACUCUUGUGGAGUCAAAUUUGCAAAAAAAAAACUCAUAAAACAAAUUAGAACUCUCUAAAAGUCUUUGCAAAAUUUAUACCUCCAGUAUUGGAAAUGAUACUAAGAUGAAAUACAUAGCGUAGCAAGUUGUAAAAAAUAAUGCUGACAAUUUAAAUUAGUGGAAAAAAUGGAAAAAGAAACACUAAAAAGAAAAUUGACAUAUAAAAAGUAUAUUACAUGGAUAGAUUAUGAGCAAUUGCAGAGUUCAUCAUAGCUGGCUGGCUUUCAUGAUCAUUAACUAUAUUUUGAAGUCUUGCAUCACGAUGAAUUCUUGCCUUUUUUGUUUUUAGGAUUUGACUCUCAUAAAAUACAUUCACAUUCAUUUUCUACAUGGCACUGCUCUUUUUGAAAUUCUUCUAUAAUUUGAUACACACUGACAUGAGCAUUUCCUGUUACAUUUUCCAAUCUUCUAUGCCAUUUUUGUCUAUUGUUUUGAGUAUGUGGAAAUCCAUUUUGCAGGCCCUCAUAUACAGGCCACUCAUUUGGCAGAAACAAUACUCUUGAUUGAACAGCAACACCGUUGCCUAAAUGACUUCUUAUCCUACCUUGCACAUCAUUAUUUUCAAAUCAGCAUGUAAUAUUUCUGGCUUCUUCAGGCAAUUGUGGUUUUAAUUUAUCAAAAGCUCCUGGAAUUUUAUCAGGUGGAAGGAAUGCCAAUACAGACAAAUGACACAUUUUUAAACUAAAAUUUUCAUCAUUGCCAUAUGGCCUGGCCAAUCCACUCACCUGAAUUUUCUGGCAAAUGAGCUGGGCUGAAUGGAAGAUAUAAACUUUACUGGUAACAACUUGCAAUUCACUUUUAGAAGCCUUGAUCACACCUAAUUAAAAACUUGUCAUUAUAACUUGGGGAUCCAAUUGAAAUCUAUUUUCUUCUGCAAAGCCAUCCAAAUCUUCAAAUAAGCUUUUAUAAAGUACUUCACUUUUUCCAGUUAUUAAACCAUAAACAUGCAGUUUAAAUUACAGAAUUUUGUAAUCCAAUGGGGGCAUAAACUGCAAAAAGUUGAUUUAAAAAACCCACUGGGGACAGUUUUGAAAGUGCCGUUCAUCAGCCAAAGUGAAACAUGCACCAGUUUUGUUAUGUUAAACAAAUAUGUUUAUCUUUUUUGACAGUCAAAUCCCUAAUCAAGAAUAGUUCAUGAUUUAAUAUGUCUUGUAGCACUGGAGGAAGCUCUGUGCCAGAAGUUGUCUGGCUCAGAAGGCCACUGAAUUUGUUGAACUAUUUUUAUUACCUGACAAAAGGCAUUUUGUGAAGGCAAGCAUGGUGCUACGUGUAGAGGUGCUUGGUACAUGAUUACAUAAUUUCGCAGACAAGAUUUUGUGCAUUUUUUACUUUCAUUUUAACUUCUUCUGUGAUAUUCAAGACAUUCAAAACAGUGACAGCAGAUCUUCCCCACCUAGUCCGCUCAGACCCACACACUGAUCUCUUCUGAGAAAACCAUCACAGUCAUACCCAAAAUAAUGCUUUCCCAGCUUUCCAGGGAUUCCUUAAUCCAGUCAAGUUGACACCUGAAAUUAAGUCUGCAAGUCCACCCCUUGUAGAUUUGGCACUCAUAUGGACCUCCUUAAACCAUACAUAAUUUCCAAAUAAAAAGAAAACAAAGCAACAGUUGUACCUAACACGAUGCAACUAACGUGGUACAACUCUUCUGUGAUUGUGAUUUUCUGGAUUUUAGAUGUUAAGAAUUUAGACUUUAGGAUUGGGCAUGGUGGCUCAUGCCUGUGUUCCCAGCACUUUGGGAGGCCAAGUCAGGAGGAUCACUUGAGCCCAGGAGUUUGAAAUCAGCCAGGGCAAUAAAGUGAGACCCCAAGAUAUGGUUUGGCUGUGUCUCCAACCAAAUCUUAUCUUGAAUUGUAGUUCCCAUAAUCCUCACAUAUCAUGAUGGGGACCCAGUGAGAGGUAAUUGAAUCAUGGAGGCAGUUACCCCCAUGCUCUUCUCAUGAUAGUGAGUUCUCACAAGAUCUGAUGGUUUUAUAAGGAGCUUUUCCCCCUUUGCUUGCACUUCUCCUUCCUGCCACCUCGUGAAGAAGGUGACUUGCUUCCCCUUCACAUUCUACCAUGCUUGAAAGUUUCCUGAGGCCUCCCCAGCUAUGAUGAACUGUGAGUCAAUUAAACCUCUUUCCUUUAUAAAUUACCCAAGCUUGGUUAUGUCUUUAUUAGCAGCAUGAGAAUGGACUGAUACAGUAAAUUGGUACUGAGGUAGUGGGGCAUUGCGAUAAGGAUAUCUAAAAAUGUGGAAGUGAAUUUGGAACUGGGUAACAGGAAGAGGUUGAACAGUUUGCAGGGUUCGGAAGAAGACAGAAAAAUGUGAGGAAGUUUGGAACUUCCUAGAGACUUGCAGAAUGGUUUUGAGGAAAAUGCUGAUAGUGAUAUGGACAAUGAAGUCCAGGCUGAGGUGGUCUCAUAUGGAGAUGAAGAACUCGUUGGGAACUGGAGUAAAGGUGACUCUUUCCAUGCAAAGAGACUGAUGGCAUUUUGCCCCUGCCCUAGAAAUCUGUGGAACUUUAAACUUGAGAGACAUAGUUUAGGGUAUCUGGCAGAAGAAAUUCCUAAGUAGCAAAGUGUUCAAGAGGAAGCAAAGCAUAAAAGUUUUAAAAAUUUUGCAGCUUGAUGAUGAGAUAGAAAAGGAAAACCCAUUUUCUGGAGAGAAAUUCAAGUCAGCUGCAGAAAUUUGCAUAAGUAAAGAGGAGCUGAAUGUUAAUCACCAAGACAAUGGGAAAAUGUCUUCAGGGCAUGUCAGAGACCUUCAAGGCAACUCAAACCAUCACAGGCCAGGAGGCCUAGGAGGAAAAAAAUGGUUUCAUGGGCCCAGUGCAGGGACUUGCUGCUCUGUGCAGUCUCAGGACUUGGUGCCCUGUGUCCCAAUCAUGGCUAAAGGGCCAAUGUACAGCUCAGGCCAUGGCUUCAAAGGGUAAAGGCCCCAAGCCUUGGCAGCUUACAUGAGGCGUCGGGCCUGUGGGUGCACAGAAGUCAAGAAUUGAGGUUUGGGAACCUACACCUAAAUUUCAGAGGAUGCAUGGAAACGCCUGGGUGUUCAGGCACAAAUUUGUGAUGGGGACGGAGCCCUCAUAGGGAACCUCUGCUAGGGCAGUGACUGCAGAAGGGAAAUGUGGGGUCAGAGCCCCCACACAGUCCCCACUGGGGCACUGCCUAGUGGAGCUGAGAGAAGAGGGCCACCAUCCUCCAGACUCCAGAAUGGUGGACACACUGACAGCUUGCACCGUAUUGCCUGGAAAAGCCACAGACACUCAGCACCAGCCUGUGAAAGCAGCCAGGAGGAGGGCUGUACCCUGCAAAUCAACAGGGGUGGAGCUGCCCAAGGCCAUGAGAGCCCACCUCUUGCUUCAGUGUGACCUGGAUGUGAGACACGAAGUCAAAGGAAACCAUUACAGAGCUUCAAGAUUUGACUGACCCAUUGAAUUUUGGACUUGCAUGGGGCCUGCAGUCCCUUCAUUUUGGCCAAUUUCUCCCAUUUGGAACAGGUGUAUUUACCCAAUGCCUAUAUCCUCAUUGUAUCUAUGAAGUAACUAACUUGAUUUUGAUUUUACAGGCUCAUAGGAAGAAGGGCCUUGCCUUGUCUAAGAUAAGACUUUGGACUUGGACAUUUUGGUUAAUGCUGGAAUGAGCUAAGACUUUGGGGGACUGUUAGAAAGGCAUGAUCAUGUUUUAAAAUGUAAGGACAUGAGAUUUGGAAGGGGCUGGGAGCAGAAUGAUAUGGUUUGGCUGUGUUCCCACCCAAAUCUCACCUUGAAUUGUAGUUUCCAUAAUCCCUACAUGUUGUGGGAGUAACCCAGUUGGAGGUAAUUGAAUCAUGGGGGUGGUUACCCCAUGCUGGUCUCAUGACAGUGAGUGAUACCUGAAGGUUUUAUAAGGGGCUUUUCCCCUUUUGCUCAGCACCUCCUGCUGCCUUGUGAACAAGGUGACUUGAUUCUUGUUUGCAUUCACCAUGAUUCUAAGUUUUCUGAAGCCUUCCCAGCCAUGCUGAACUGUGAGUCAAUUAAAC